AGUGAACGCUGGCGGUAGGCCUAACACAUGCAAGUCGAACGGCAGCACAGUAAGAGCUUGCUCUUACGGGUGGCGAGUGGCGGACGGGUGAGGAAUACAUCGGAAUCUACUUUUUCGUGGGGGAUAACGUAGGGAAACUUACGCUAAUACCGCAUACGACCUACGGGUGAAAGCAGGGGAUCUUCGGACCUUGCGCGAUUGAAUGAGCCGAUGUCGGAUUAGCUAGUUGGCGGGGUAAAGGCCCACCAAGGCGACGACCCGUAGCUGGUCUGAGAGGAUGAUCAGCCACACUGGAACUGAGACGCGGUCCAGACUCCUACGGGAGGCAGCAGUGGGGAAUAUUGGACAAUGGGCGCAAGCCUGAUCCAGCCAUACCGCGUGGGUGAAGAAGGCCUUCGGGUUGUAAAGCCCUUUUGUUGGGAAAGAAAAGCAGCAGGUUAAUACCCCGCUGUUCUGACGGUACCCAAAGAAUAAGCACCGGCUAACUUCGUG
This 492-nucleotide ribosomal RNA is filed under the name uncultured bacterium. Its description in RNAcentral is "partial 16S ribosomal RNA". It matches the Rfam family "Bacterial small subunit ribosomal RNA", at positions 29 to 507 of the family's 1533-position model. The record is from RNAcentral.